Clostridium sp. CAG:762 is the source of this 253-nucleotide non-coding RNA. NCBI's taxonomy places the organism in Bacteria, Bacillati, Bacillota, Clostridia, Eubacteriales, Clostridiaceae. The record is from Rfam.
ACAAAGCCAUUGCGAGGAAGAGUAAAAAAUAUAAAGCAUUUUAGAGAACUCUGUUAGGUGAAAAAGAGGAUGUAAGUAUUUUUUGAACAUGGCCCUCAAGGCGAAUGACUGAAAGACUCUUAGUAAGUCAUUACGGGAAUGCCCGUUAUAGCAGAUACCUAUAACUAUGCAAAAGACAUAAGUAGGUUAGUGAGUUUAAUACAGUAAUGUAUUAAUAAAUAAGAGUGGUAACGUGAAUAUAUUCACCUCUUAG